Hibiscus syriacus is the source of this 388-nucleotide long non-coding RNA. RefSeq lists it as uncharacterized. The transcript has 2 exons. Lineage: Eukaryota; Viridiplantae; Streptophyta; Magnoliopsida; Malvales; Malvaceae. The record is from RefSeq and is a predicted model, not a curated record.
AAAGGAGAAAGGAGCGAAAUAAUCAGCCUAUAAAUAACAAAGAAGGCAGAUCUAGGGUUUUCAAAUUGCCUUUUGAGAGAACAGAGCGAAGUUUACAAUAAGCAGUGCCGCUCUUGUUCCGUUGCCGGCAGAUACGAAACCCUAAAAUAAUUCCCUUCAGUUUUUGCAAGUGAUUUUCUUCAACUCUUGCAAGUUUCGCAGAAAGGGAUAGUGUGUAUCGACGAUGUGCAAAUUUUCCGGUGCACUAUGUUCGAAAGAUUUUCCUGCAAAAUUGAUUCGGGGAAGGUGGGCAGUUGUGUUUCAUAUCCAUCGUUGAUACUUUUCAACAAUCAUCUUCCCCAUAUUGUAAGCUAUUAUCUUAUGAUAAUUUUAUCGGCUAAUUUAUCCA